This 25-nucleotide non-coding RNA is filed under the name Mus musculus (house mouse). The record is from RNAcentral. Lineage: Eukaryota; Metazoa; Chordata; Mammalia; Rodentia; Muridae.
UGCCAAUUCACGUUGCUUAAGCAUG